GGUGGCCCAAGCGGAGCGCCCCCACCCGAUCCCAUCCCGAACUCGGCCGUGAAACGCUCCAGCGCCAAUGGUACUUCGUCUCAAGACGCGGGAGAGUAGGUCGCCGCCA
RNAcentral lists this ribosomal RNA (109 nucleotides) under Roseibium aquae. Lineage: Bacteria; Pseudomonadati; Pseudomonadota; Alphaproteobacteria; Hyphomicrobiales; Stappiaceae. The record is from RNAcentral.